This 570-nucleotide ribosomal RNA is filed under the name uncultured bacterium. Its description in RNAcentral is "partial 16S ribosomal RNA". It matches the Rfam family "Bacterial small subunit ribosomal RNA", at positions 355 to 919 of the family's 1533-position model. The record is from RNAcentral.
UGGGGAAUUUUGGACAAUGGGCGAAAGCCUGAUCCAGCAAUGCCGCGUGUGUGAAGAAGGCCUUCGGGUUGUAAAGCACUUUUGUCCGGAAAGAAAUCCUUGGCUCUAAUACAGUCGGGGGAUGACGGUACCGGAAGAAUAAGCACCGGCUAACUACGUGCCAGCAGCCGCGGUAAUACGUAGGGUGCAAGCGUUAAUCGGAAUUACUGGGCGUAAAGCGUGCGCAGGCGGUUUGCUAAGACCGAUGUGAAAUCCCGGGCUCAACCUGGGAACUGCAUUGGUGACUGGCAGGCUAGAGUAUGGCAGAGGGGGGUAGAAUUCCACGUGUAGCAGUGAAAUGCGUAGAGAUGUGGAGGAAUACCGAUGGCGAAGGCAGCCCCCUGGGCCAAUACUGACGCUCAUGCACGAAAGCGUGGGGAGCAAACAGGAUUAGAUACCCUGGUAGUCCACGCCCUAAACGAUGUCAACUAGUUGUUGGGGAUUCAUUUCCUUAGUAACGUAGCUAACGCGUGAAGUUGACCGCCUGGGGAGUACGGUCGCAAGAUUAAAACUCAAAGGAAUUGACGGGGU